GACAGAGCUUCUCCGAAAUAGGGUCUGCAGCAACAAGCGAUGGAGGUGGUUCCAGGCGGUGGAAGGCUCGAAGAGGAGGGAGCGGGGAAGAGGGAGAAAAUAGAGAGAAAGGGUUUGUUGGGAGAGAGAAAGAGAGAGAGGGAGUAGAAAAAUCUGAGAAGAAUGGGAGAGAAAGGGAAGAAUGGGAUAGAAUAGGGAGAGUAGGAAAAAAAAAAAGUCUGAGAAGAGGCAUGGGAAGAGAAAUGGGAUGAUUGUGCCCG
This 260-nucleotide long non-coding RNA is filed under the name Ananas comosus (pineapple). Its description in RNAcentral is "long non-coding RNA (ACOM_LNC012143)". Lineage: Eukaryota; Viridiplantae; Streptophyta; Magnoliopsida; Poales; Bromeliaceae. The record is from RNAcentral.